Molecule: long non-coding RNA, 1130 nt
Organism: Octopus bimaculoides (California two-spot octopus)
Lineage: Eukaryota; Metazoa; Mollusca; Cephalopoda; Octopoda; Octopodidae
Source: RefSeq, a predicted model, not a curated record
CUCUCUCUCCCUCCUCAUUCUUCAUUGAUACUCUUUAUCUUUACGCUUAUUUUCCUUUCUCUCAUCCUUCCACUUCUUACUCUUUCUCUUCCUCCCUCCCUCUUACCCCACUCGCUCGCUCUUCCUUCCUCCUUCACCCACCGCCUAACUUUUUCCCCCCGCACUUCCCUCUCUCACUCAUUUGCACUCCCUCACUCACACACAAUCACUCGACAACCUGUCAUGGCAACACCUCUCGGCUGCCGGUUUUCAUUCAUGUAUCUAGAAUGGGACUUGCGAAACUUUUCCUUAUCUACUCCAGCUUGUGUACUGUAUGUCUUCUGCCGUUUCACCACGAUGAAAGGCUAUUUGUAAGGGCUGAAAACUUCGUCGUCAAUAAAAACCAGGAUAAGGACGGGGACAGGAGCAAGCGGACAGCAGCUGUGAUUCGAAACAAUUCUCAGGCGAAUCUAGCUCACUCAUAUCAAACUCAAGGACUGUUGACCGGCCUACCCUAGAAAAGUCAUGUACUUUUCGAUUUUUUUAUCACUGAGUCUGGAACAAAACCAUGUCUAUGGCCCUCAUGGGAGAGAGAGGUACGAAGGUAUCUGCAAACCGGAGACUUGACCUGAAUACUGGCAAAUGAGUGGACUCCACGAAAGAUGUUCUAAGUGACGAUUAAGUAUGUUAAACUGGACAAUGAUUAAAUUUACAUCCAAAUAGUCCUCGACGUGAUUUGAACUCAAAAUGCAAAGAACCGGAACAAAUACCCAUGUACUGCAUUGCAUAUUGUCUGGUACUUUAGUCAUUCUGCUAACCUACGAUCCUGGAUUAUUAUAUCGUAUUUAUCGAACCCCGAAAGGAUGAAAAGCAAAUUUGACUUGGCCCAGGCGGGAUUUGAACUCUGAGCGCAAAGUGUCGGAAUAAAAGCAGCGAGUCAUUCUAUCCGGCGCUCUAACCAUUCUGCUGGUCUGCUACCUUUGAUUGGUACUUUAACAGUCCCUGAAAAGAUAAAAAGUAAAUUUGAAUUGGCCUCGGCGGAAUUUGAACUCAGAACGGGUUGUAAGGGUUAGCUGGUCGAUCUGAUUAGGGAGGGGAGGUGAGGCAUUUAGAGUUGGAUCUCAUUGACUUAAAAUGCUACCACAAGAAAU